This 433-nucleotide ribosomal RNA is filed under the name uncultured bacterium. RNAcentral describes it as "partial 16S ribosomal RNA". It matches the Rfam family "Bacterial small subunit ribosomal RNA", at positions 29 to 507 of the family's 1533-position model. The record is from RNAcentral.
AACGAACGCUGGCGGCAUGCCUAAUACAUGCAAGUCGAACGAGAUCUUCGGAUCUAGUGGCGCACGGGUGCGUAACGCGUGGGAAUCUGCCCUUGGGUUCGGAAUAACUUCUGGAAACGGAAGCUAAUACCGGAUGAUGACGUAAGUCCAAAGAUUUAUCGCCCAAGGAUGAGCCCGCGUAGGAUUAGCUAGUUGGUGGGGUAAAGGCCCACCAAGGCGACGAUCCUUAGCUGGUCUGAGAGGAUGAUCAGCCACACUGGGACUGAGACACGGCCCAGACUCCUACGGGAGGCAGCAGUAGGGAAUAUUGGAAAAUGGGGGAAGCCCUGAUCCAGCACUGCCGCGUGAGUGAUGAAGGCGUUAGGGUUGUAAAGCUCUUUUACCCGGGAUGAUAAUGACAGUACCGGGAGAAUAAGCUCCGGCUAACUCCGUG